AUGAGAGGAGCUAUUUUGAAUUAUCCAGCCCUCACGUCGUUUCUGUGUAAAUGGGCUAGAUCUUGUUCAGUAAAACACCCUGAGACUCUGAAAGCCAUGCUAAAAUUGAUGACAGACACAGGCAUUUAUUCACAAAAAAUUAAAAAAAAAAUGAUCAUAUUCAGCCAAAACCGAGGCCAAAACUGAGAUAUGAACACAGUUUGGAGCUAGUAAUAACGCACUUAACGUCUCUCCUUGUCAUCCUCGAUGGUGGAUGACAGUGCCGCUUAUAAACUUUUACAUCUGAUAUUUGGUCCCAUAUUUCCUACCAGCAGGGAGACAACAUUUUUAUCGACCUAAAAAGUAAAAAUAUUAGUUAUAAAUGAAUUGAAGAUCAUAAAAAAAUGAAAAUAAAAUUUUUCUGUUUCCUAAGGAGUGAAAAAAAAUCUUGACGUUUCAAUUUGUCAACAUAGAAAAUUUAAUUAUCAAAAAGCUUACUUUGAUUCGACCAUAAUAGAAUUUAUAGUGUCGGCAAGACUUGUCAUAAGGGGGUGAUUCACAGUUUAUGGCAAACUAGCGUAAAAAGCUGGAUAUUUGAUAUAAGGAAGAUAUUCGGAGUCCAAAAAUGGCGACCACAACUUCCAAGAGGGCGAUCUAAAAUCCAAAAUGGCGACUCCAAAUUCAAGACGGUGGCUGUUUAAAGCAGUUUUAGACCCUAACUGCAUGUAAUAUGGGUAUAUUUUGUAUUUUGUAUAGGAAAGAUGUCUGGAGUCAAAAAUAGCGACCACAAUAUGCAAAAUGGUGGCCCAAACUCCAAGAUGACGGCUCCAAAUUCAAGAUGGUGGAUGUUUAAUGGCGUUUUAAGCUCUAAAUCCGUGACAUAUGGGUUUAUUUGAUAUAGGGACGAAUUGUGGACUCCAAAAAAUGGUGACCAGAUGGUGGCUGUUCAAUGGAGUUCUGGGCUCUAAAUCCAUGCAAUAUGGGUACUCUUCGAUAUAACGUACAAAAAAGUUUUCUCUUUGUACGUUAUAUCGAAGUGUACGUUAUAUCGAAGCAGAGAAAACUAAUAUUUUUAUGCUAAUAUUGAUGAUUACGACGUGAAAUUAACCCCAAAUAAUGAUUUCGGUGAAAUUCACAAAACCAAUAAUGAAAACCAUGAGUUUUGACGAAAAAGUAAUUUUGUUUUUUGUGCUUCGAUAUAACGUACAUUUUGCUUCGAUAUAACGUACACUAAAUUUUUCCCCAAUUUGCGCUAAAUCUAGGUAAUAAGAUUAAUACUGCAAGAUAACAUUGAUUUAAGUGAUUUCGUAGCUUAUCUGAGGGUUAUUCCUGGGAAAAAUUAAAAAUUUCAAUGUUGUACGUUAUAUCGAAGCAAAAUGUACGUUAUAUCGAAUUCGCUAUAUCGAGGGUACGCUAUAUCGAGGGUACGUUAUAUCGAAGAAUACCUGUAUCUGGUAUGGAGAAGAAAUGUGGAGUCUAAAAAUAAAGACCAGAAUAGUCAAGAUGGCUGACUCAAAUCCAAAAUUGCGGCUCAAAGUUCAAGAUAGCGGCUUUUUGUUAUGGUGAAAUAGGAGAGCGUCCAGGUGCAUUUUUGACUCGCAUUUUUGAGAGCACCGAUCUCGUCUUCCACAAAACGCCCGAAAACGAAAAUGCUACUCAAUGUUUAUCACGAGUGAGCAAGGCUACUCAUUGCUUUUUCAGCUCUAUUUGUUGUUUAGAUGAUGAGAUCCGUACUUUCGGUAUUUAGUAAGGCAGCCAUUGCCAUCUUUGGAUUCGCUCAUAUAUGUCCUUAAGACAUAUAGGCGCAAACAUCAAAGCUACAUAAACGAUAUGAUUUCUGGUGCCAUGUAAUGGAUUUUUGUUUAACGUAUGAAAGUGCGAUAUUCAUCUAUGUACAUGUCACUUGAGUUUUGUUGAAAUGUGUUUUCGAAGGCACGAGGAAGGCGCCAUCACCGCUAGGUGGAUUAAUUAGGGUUUUUUAAUGAAAUUUGUUCCAAAUGUUACGCCUGUUUCUCUGUGCCUCUGAUUUACAUACGCUCAAACCUUUCACACAAAAUAGAUAAAAAAUGUAAUUUAGGUACAAGAAACCAAUUCAGUAACAAAUUUUGAAAACGACGUAUAACACUAGUUUACAGCAUUUUUGAACUCGGUAAGUUGAUGAUCGUUUUUGGUGUAGAAUCAUGCCCUGAAUUCGAAAACGCGAAGGAAAAAAAUUACAAUAGAGCGGAAAUUUUUUCGACUUUCCAUACAAGGUUGAUGAUUUGAAAUCGAUUUUUGUUCUAUUUUUUAGCAAUGUCGCUCACUUCACACAUCUUAGUCUCCGUAAUCAAUGCUCCGAUUUAGCUAAUUUUUUACUGUAAUUCGCCUACAUAUGAUAUGUCAAAUAAACGUUGAGAAAGAAUUUUUAAAUUGUUUUUUUCUCAUUGAAAAAAAUACAUUUCUUCAUAUAUUUUUGGAAAUUUUGCUAAAAUUUAAGGAGAUCGUCCCCAAAACUCGCAAAUAUCUUGAAUUUCAUCAAUCUGACGCAAAACCUGUAUUCAGAUGAUCGAAUGGUAUUUUAUUCAGCUUUUAAUUUAUGGGAAAAGAUUUAAAAUUGGUUGAACAAAACGCAAGAUAUUCGAAUUUUAUUAAAUUCUAUAUUUUAAAAAGUUGUAAAACUCGAUAUUGAGCUAAUACUCAAAAACUGUUCUACUUUAAAUUUUUUGAAGCACGGAUUCGAAAUCAGCGCCAAAUUAUGCUUCAAAAAUUUUGAUCGUUGACAGUAGUUCACGACUUUCGUUUUAUUUUGUAAACUAGUGUAAUCAAUGCUACACCGCACCAUUGAUUAUACGUCGUUUUCAAAAUUUGUUACUGCAUUAUUCUGUAUUGACGUUUUUGAUGAUUUUAAAUUGCACUUCACUAAAAAUUUUUUUUUAAAUUUUGGUCACGCCGAUUACGCCGCCGCCGCCGCCGCCGAAUAGGACGUACGGCGUGACGCCGGCGUCGCCGCCGCCGCUGCCUCAAAUUACUAUACACGCCGCCGCCGGUGAAAACUGCUUCGGCGCACACGUCUACAGCGGGCUGCUCGGCUGACGUUAAAUGUUGGUGAUUUACAUUUUUCUGCUGCAAAUUUCAGUUGAUCUUCAAUUUACGUGCUGUUUAACUUUCAUAUUUUUUUGCUGUGUAAUCUGCACAUCGUUCAAACUAAAAAUGGUUCAAACGUCAUUCUGCUCAUGGAACGGAGUGAAACGGAAUGCAGAAUCAAAACAAAACAGCAAAAAGGGUUACCAUCAGUGUGUUUUUCGAUACCUACAGGGUUACUAGAAGUUCAAACUAAAAAAUGAACCCCGUUGGUUUGCAUGAAAUGUUGUUCAAACCAACGGGGGUAGACGGUACACUUCAAUUAAUAUUUCCAUGUUUAUUGGCAUGCAGUCAAAAAAGCCCAAAAUCGUAUAUUUUACCCCAUAAAUGAAGCUGUAGCUCAAAAUUGUGACGUGUUGGACUAAAUCUGAGCCCGGAUACGGAUUCAGCGGCCCAAAAUCUGUCAGAGACACAUAAGUUUGCUCUUGAGACAGACCAAUAGUUAAUUUUUGUUUCAUACUGCAACCACUCUUUUUGCAGUUGUUCACAAGUGUUAAGAGUUAUCUUUGACUACAUUUCAUCAAAAAAAAAAAAAACAAAAAAAAAAACAUGGAUACCUACACUGAUGGGCUGAUGAAGAUACGUUCAGGCGUACGCUUAUUUUUCAACGCGUAAACAAAUAAUUCCUUUGGUUGCUUUGUACAGCUGUACCGCUGCGCAAAAUGAGCAGCUCAGAGUUACUCAAAAUCAACCUUGAGAGCAGGGGAGCGGACCUGGUGUGAUGGUUAGAACACUUGACCAUAACCAUUGGCGGAGCCAGUUUUUUCUUUUUUCUUACUCACUCUCCUAAACAUACACGAGAAAGAGCGGGAUGGAAGAGGAGGCAAGCUGCCCCCUCUUCUAUCUUUCUCUUUCUCGUGCAUGUUUAGGAGAGUGAUUAAGAGAAAAGAAAGUGGUGGCUCCGCCAAUGACCAUAACGCCGAGGACCUGGGAUCGAAUCCCACUCCCGACAAACUCGCAAAAUGUGAGUUUUUCCUUCGGAAGGGAAGUAAAGCGUGGGUCCCGAGAUGAACUAGCCUAGGGCUAAAAAUCUCGUUAAUACCGAUUAAAAAAAAAACCUUGAGAGCAAGAACUGUUUCCCGUUAAAUUAAACUGAAAAUAAUAGCACUAGUUUACAAAAUAAAACGAAAGUCGUGAACUUCUGUCAACGACCAAUAUUUUUGAAGCACAAUUUAGUGCUGAUUUCGAAAUCGAACUUCAAAAAAUUUGAAGUAGAACAGUUUUUGAGUUUUACCUCAAUAUCGAGUUUUACAACAUUUCAAAAUAUGUAAUUUACUAAAAUCCAAAAUAUAUUGCGUUUUGUUCAACCAAGUUUAAAUCUUUUUCCUUUAAUUUGAAGCUGAAUACAAUACCAUUUGAUCAUCUGAAUACAGUAUUUGCGUCAGAUUGAUGAAAUUCAGGAUAUUGACUUGUUUUAGGGACGAUCUCCUUAAAUUUUAGCAAAAUUCCCAAAAAAAAUUGAAGAAAUGUAUUUUUCUCAAUAAGAAAAAAACAAUUGAAAAAUUCUUUUUCGACGUUUAUUUGACGUAUCAUAUGUAGGCGAGUUACAGUAAAAAUUUCAGCUCAAUCGGAGCAUUGAUUACGGAGAAUGAGAUGUUUGAAGUGAGCGACUUUACUUAAAAAUAGAACAAAAAUCGAUUUCGAACCAUGAACCUUGUAUGGAAAGUCGAAAAAAUUUCCGCUCUACUGUAAUUUUUUUCUUUCGCGUUUUCGAACUCAGGGCAUGAUUCUGUACCAAAAAUGAUCAUCAGCUUACCGAGUUCAAAAAUGCUGUAAACUGGUGUAGCCUAUGUUUGGAAGAAGGAUAAAUUAAUGAAAAAGUUGAUCCUUAUUGCUGUUGGAAAUCGACUGUAAUCUUGACUCUAUAGAUUAUCGGCUACGCAGUCUUAGAGUUCAAAAAACAAGCUUUGUCAUUGACCCGACGUUUCGACACGGGGAUAGUGUCUUCCUCAGGGGGAGAAUAAAUAUUAACGUUUUUGGUCAAAUGUUUUGUCUAACUUUAGCUGUCUCGUUUUGUGACGUUUUUGGUACAAGCUUACACUUCGAAAUCACUUAAACAGUUUAAAGGUUUUGUGGCAAAACUUGUAAUAGAAGAAAAAAAAUUAAUUGAUAAUAUUGUUUACAUAUCGAUUGUAUCGUAGAUGUUGCUAAGAUAUUCAAAACUAAAGGUGUGGCUAUAGAAAGUGAUCGUAUCGAAUGGAAGAACUCGUUGAAAAAAAUGUGAAGGAAAGCAUACGGAUCUUCUAUGAUAUCCAAAAUCUGCCCCCUUAUGUUACCCCACCUAGGUGCAUCGCAUGAAUUCUGAACUUGUAGGAUGUGGUGUUCCUACUCUGGUGCUGGCGCGAGGCAUCCGAGCGAACAGAUCCGGAAGAAUUUCUGCGCCUUACGUUUCAGUUUUAGUGGAUGAAAAACGAAGGCACUACCUAUCCCACAUUUGCAACGUCGGAACACGGCCAGUGCAGUAGAAGCUUCUCGUCCAACUUUUAACAUGGUUUAAACGGUGUAACUCGCUGCUUGCUGACGCGUGGGUGUAUGUUGAAGAGGUAAGGCGCCCAAACACAUCGUGUUAGUUGCCGAGAUUUUCCCAGACCGUGUUUCCGGCCGGUACUUUAUGAAGGUGGACCUUGAACUCACCGUUCGUCCUAGCGAGUAGUUUUUCAACCAGUAGAACCACCCUGAUAGCAAUACGCCGCGCCCCGGUUGCGCUACCGCCUUUCAGAAGUUUCCACUGAAAAAGAAAAAGCUGUUAAGCUCUCCGGCAUGCCGUCGUCGUGUAAGCCUUCCCAUACUAGUAUUACACACGUUUUACUUGCCAUGCAAUUCGACUAGCCAGCGGUACGGUACACACACCCCCGAAACACGACGACUGACAAGCGUCUACCUCCGUCGGAUAUGCUGCUACUACACGCCCGCCCCGCACUCGGAGCGAUUGCUUGGAAUAUGCUUUGAAGUACUUAGGUAUGUAGGUACCGAACCGACCUAUCCGAUCCGUGCUGGUGCAAGCUCAGGAGAAGUUCACAAUUUGUCAAUGUCAGUUUCACUGCUGAAUCAUGCCCCCGUCCGCCUCCACCCAGCUGCAACCACCAACAUACUUUUCUCCAAAUGGAGAUGAAGAUGGGGCUGGUCCGAUCCGAACUGCACUCUUUGAUAAACGAGAUUUUAACCGACUCUUGUUUUGCUUCCGGUUCGGCGAAUCUUUGAGAGGGGGAAGUGAAUUUCUUCAUCAAUCUCCGGGUCCAGAAAUGCCCACCAGGGGCUUAUGGCGUUGACAAACCGAUCUCAUUUGUCCAAUCGUUCUGAUGAGGCUCUGAGUUGUGGAAGAUGGUUGGUGUCGGUGUGUUUUGGCUGAUGACUCGUCAUCGGGUAGGCAGCAAAUUGCAGUGUCUGGUCUCCCUUGGCUUGCUUCCUAAUGUACAAGGGUGGGUUGAUAACGUUUACAAAACGACGACGCUAAUGUAGCAACAAACACGACUCAUUAUUUGACCACCAUUUGUGACGGUUUCUGUGGGAAUUUCUUUCAGAAUUUCCAAAGAAAGAAGAUGCAGAAAAUGACAAAAAUAUUGAAACAAUUUCUGGAGGCAUAUGUAACAGAUGGGUCUGCUUCCUAUCGGGACAUUAUUAUACAAACCAGCUGUUUCUAAUAGUGAGCUUUUACAUGAAAAAAGAGGAAACCAAACACGGAAUCAACUCGUACAAGUUUAUUUAAAAAUUAUCAUUAACUAACUACAUAAAUCUCUGAUUAAUCCACCUAGUGGUGAUAGUGCCUUUCUCGUCAUUUUUUUUUUUUAAUUCUCGUUUUACGUCAUACACACAUUUGUUCGGUAAUUGUUUGACGAAAAUAGAACAGCUGUAUACAGCUAUACUGCGUUGUUUACCUUUUGCACCAGGUUUUGACAGUUGGUGUACUGAACCUCAGUAAAAUCGAUUACCGAAGCUACCGAAAAAAUUCUGCUGUUCUAUUUUCGUCAAAAAAGUGCUGAACAGGCAAUUCAGGAUUGAGUGUACUAUAUUAAAUUUGUAAAAUAAGCUUGAGAAUAUGAAAAAUAGUACUAAUUACGAAAGCUAUAAAGGUUUCGUUAAAACGUGUUUUCUUCAACGCUGCACAGUAAAUAGUUUUGUAAUAUCCAGUCGCGUAAUUUCUAGCGACGUAUCCAAUUUUGAACGUAAAUUAACUCGGUUACAUAGUUCCAACAAUUAUCACACUCACCAUGUACACCUAGUUGCCACCGGAAAGUGUCAACAAACUCAUUCCAGCAGAUACCUAGAAACAGUAUCAUAUUUAAUACCCAUCUUCUAGCUCGGUGGAAUAGCCGAGAGGCGAGGGACAUGUCUCUCAAUCAACGGAUCAGUGUACGAAUCCAUGCCAAUAUUUUACUUAUAUAUGAAUCAUCUAUCGUUCCGGUUCUAGCGAUUGCUAGACCCUCUGUUAAGCUGCGGCGGCUAAUUUGCUGCGUGGAAGGGAUGUAAUUUGUACAUCACUUUCACGACGCGACUGAUGUGCAGCGAAAACGAUGUGAUAUCACAAGAAUUUUGUUGUUGUGUAUGAUAACAGCUCAAUGGCUCAUCUGAAAGCACAAACCAAAAACAAAACUGUUAUUUGAGGACAUUGUGAUGUCCUUGAAUGAUCAGUAUAUCAAAAAAAUGUGGUAUUUUGCAAACGGGAACGAUAGCAUACAACGGCAGAAACUUCAUCUACAAAAUGGGGACCACAGACAUAGCCCGAAAGAACUCACACAUCUUUAAAAAAUGUACCCCAACAUCGCCACAACGAGGAAGAUGUAGCAAAUCGAUCAGCGCAACUUCUAAGUGUAGUUUGGUCGUUGCCCGACUACAUGGGAUAUUACAAGUUGUGUUAUUUUGUUACAAUCAUUUUUAAAAGACACGGACACCGUCUUCAGCCAGCGGCUGUGCAGACUGUACACAGCAAAAAAAAUCUUGUGAUAUCACAUCAUUUUCGCUGCACAUCAGUCGCGUCGUAAAAGUGAUGUAAACAAUUACACUACCCGCCAUAAAUAUGGAAUCGCAUCUUCUAGUAUUGCAACACCCCAAUUGAAUAUUGCAGCACCCCAAAAAGUUUGGCAUCACCUGAAAACCUUAUUUUUUACUAAACUUUAUCUCAAAAACCGUAUCCUCUGCAAAGUUUAGACCUUCGGCAAAGUUGUUCAGCAGGUUUAUGACCUUCAAAUGGUGAAAUGUUUGGUACGUAAUUCCGCCACUAUGUGGCGCUAGUGUGCAUUUACAAUGAAGUACUUUAACAUGGUUUAUCUCAUGAUUCUGACCACCUAGAAUGUUCGUGUCUUCAGCAAUGUUGAUCAGAAGGGUUAUGGCUAUCAAAUGGUGGUAAGUUUAGUGCGUAAUUCCACCGCUAUGUGGCGCUAGUGUGCAUUUACAAUGAAGUACUUUGACAUGGUUUAUCUCAAGAUUCUGACCACCUAGAAUGUUCGUGUCUUCAGCAAUGUUGAUCAGAAGGGUUAUGGCUAUCAAAUGGUGGUAAUUUUAGUGCGUAAUUCCGCCGCUAUGUGGCACCAGUGUGCAUUUACAAUGAAGUACUUUGACAUGGUUUAUCUCAUGAUUCUGACCACCUAGAAUGUUCGUGUCUUCAGCAAUGUUGAUCAGAAGGGUUAUGGCUAUCAAAUGGUGGUAAUUUUAGUGCGUAAUUCCGCCGCUAUGUGGCACCAGUGUGCAUUUACAAUGAAGUACUUUGACAUGGUUUAUCUCAUGAUUCUGACCACCUAGAAUGUUCGUGUCUUCAGCAAUGUUGAUCAUAAGGUCUAUGGCUAUCAAAUGGUGGUAAGUUUAGUGCGUAAUUCCGCCGCUAUGUGUCGCCAGUGUGCAUAAAAAAUGAAAUACUUUGACAUGGUUUAUCUCAUGAUUCUGACCACCUAGACCUACCUGUGCGCCGACUAUAUUUUGCUCGGCGGCAGCGUGAGGGCCAUUUUUGGCCGGCGGCGGCGGCUUCACGCUGGUGGCAGCUUUCGGCGGCGUGAAUUGGCGUGUCCAAAAUUUGACCAUAAUGUUACAUUGACAAAGCAAACAAGUUAUCAUUACGUUCUAGAAUUUGUAGUCUGAGCUACUUCAUGACAAUCGAUGACAUAAACUAUUGAUUGAAUGAAUACCUUUUGUAAGUCCUGUUCAGAUCCAUCGCUGCGACCAGUGAUUAGACCUAUUGUGACAUUAGCCGCAUCCUUAGUGUAGUUCAUGUUGCAAUACUGCAUUGCAAUUGAAGGCAAUACAAUAGAGAUUUUGCUACAGUUUUUGUUUCAUUUAUUUAGAGGGAAGGAAUCUCGUUUCUUCAGGGAGGAAUCUCAGAAGGAAUUCCAGGAGGAACCUUGAAAGAAACUGGUGAAAUCCAUGAAGAAAAUUCUGGGCUUAUCUCUGCAGGAACUACUGUAUGAAAUCCUGAAGGAACGACUGCAGAAAUCUCUGGUGGUUCAAGAGUCUGUCUUUGAGAGCGAUCCCUGCAGAAACUUGUAAAGGAAUCCAUGAUUGAAAUUUUCGAGGAAUUUCAGAAGGAAAUCCAGGAGGAUUCCAUAAAUAAAUUCAAGACGAAAUCCUAAGGGAUUUACAGCAGAAAUCCUCGAAGGAAUUCCAGCGGGAAUUUCUAAGGAAAUUCGAGAAGGAAUCCUUUAAGCAAGGAUUUCUAGGAGGAAUCAACAAAAAAUAUCCAGGAGAAAUUUCGAAAGUUUUUCCAGCAGAAAACCUCAAAAGAAUUCAAGUGGGAGUUUAGAAGAAUAUUAGAAUAAGAGUCACCAAAGGAAUUCUAAGAGGAAUCAAUGAAAAUUACCUUAGAGGUAUUUCUGGAGGAAUUCCAAGAGAAAUCCCUGAGAGAAUUCCAGUAGGAAUCCCCGAAGGAAUUCUAAGAGGAAUCCCCGCAGGAAUUCUAGAAAAAAUCUUCGAAGGAAUCUCCCAAGAAAUUGCAGGAGAAAUUUAUGCAGAAAUCUCAGGAGCAGCCACCGAAAGAACUUCGGAAGAAAUCUUCGAAGGAAUUUCGAGCGGAAUCCUCAAAGGUUUUUUAAGUCAGAAGGAAUUCCCGAAAAAAUCCUUGAAGGAACUCUAGGAAGAAUCCACGAAUUCUAGAAAGAAUUUCCGAAGGAAUUCUUGGAGAAACCACCGAAUAAGUUCAAGAAGGAAACCCUGAAGGAAUUCCAGGUGGAAUUCCAUGAAGAAUUUAAGGAAUUCCAGGAGGAAUCACCGAAAAAAUAAAUAAAAAAGGAAUCGCCGUAGGAAUUCCAAGAGGAAUCUUCAAAGUUAUUCCAGGAGGAGUUUCCGUGUUAAUUUUAGGAGGAAUCCUCGACGGAAUAUCAGGAGGAAUACCCGAAGAAAUAUCAAGAGGAAACUUUGAAGGAAGUCCAGCAGAAAUCCACGAAGGAAUUCCAAGGCAAAUCCCCGAAGGAACUCUAAGAGGGUACCCCGAAGGAAUUCCCGGUGGAAUCCACGACGGAAUAUCAAAAGGAAUCCCCGAAAGAAUUUCAGGAGGAAUCCAUGAAGGAAGUCCAGGAGGAAUCCCCAAAGAAAUUCCAGAAAGAAUUUUUCAACGUAAUUCGUGAUGGAUUCUUCAAAAGACUUCUAGGAGGAACCAUCGAAAAAAAAUUAGAAGAAUCCUCGAAUAAAUUUCAUGAGGAAUCCGUGGAUAAAAUUGAAAAGGAAUCUUCGAAGGAAUUUUAGGAAGAAUCCCCAAAGGCAUUUCAGGAGGAAUCCCCGCAGGAAUUUCAUGAGCAAAUUCCGAAAAUAAUCCUGCAAAGGAAUUCCAGCAAUUAUCCACAACGAAAUUCCAGCUGGACUCCAGUGGGAACUUCCAAGGGAAUUUGGGUAAGAAUCUCCAAAGGAUUUCAAUAACGGAUCAACGAAAAAUAUCCUCUGAAACAGUUCCAGGAGCAAUCCUUGAGGGAAUUCUAGAGAAAUCACCGAAGGAAUUCCAAGAGGAAUCCCCGAAUGAAUUUCAGAGGAAAUUCCCCAAGGAAUUCCAGAAGGAAAUCCUGAAGGAAUUCUAGGUGGAAUCCCCGGAGGAAUUCAAUGAAAAAUUUUUGGAGCAAUCUCCGAAGAAAUUCGAAGAGGAAUCACAACAGAAAUCCCAAGAGGAAACUCCAAAGGAAAUCCAGGAAAAUCCUCCAAAGUAAUUGCUGGAGGAGUUCCCGUAGAAAUUCCAGGGGGAAUCCCCGACGGAAUGUCAGGAGGAAUCUCCGAAAUAAUUCCAGGAGAAAUCCCCGAAAGAACUCUACAAGGAGACCCCGAAGGAAUUCCAAAAGAAACCUCCGAAAUAAUUCAAGGAGAAAUCUCCGAAGGAAUCCCUGAAGGAAGUCCAGAAUGAAUACUUCGACGGAAUUCCAGGAGGAUAUCCUGAAGAAAUUUCAAGAGAAAACUCCGAAGAAAUUACAGGAGACAUCCCAGGGGGAAGAGGAAACCCAUUAGGAAUUUCAGAAUAAAUCUCCGAAGAAACACUAGGAGGACUCCUGGAGGAAUUCUAUGAGGAAUCCCUGGAGGAAAUCAAGGAGGAAUCUCCGUGGGAAUUCUAAAAGAAAUCAUCAAAGAAAUUCCAGGAGGAAGCCCCGAAGGAAUUUUAAGAGAAAUCCGCGACAGCGUAUCAGGAGAAAUCCCCGAAAGAAUUUCAAGAGGAACCCUUGAAGGAAUGCAACAUUAAUUUUGUUUGUGCACUGAUCACCGUCGCGAAAAAUAAAAACCGGCGGUGUGACAAACUGCGACGUAUGGCCUAGGUAAUCAGAAUCAUGAGACAAACCAUGUCAAAGUACUUUGUUUUAAAAGCACACUGGCGCCACAUAGCGGCGGAAUGACGCAUUAAACUUACUACCAUUUGGUAGCCAUAGACAGUCUGAUCAACAUUGCCGAAGACACGAACAUUCUAGGUGGUCAGAAUUAUGAGAUAAACCAUGUCAAAAUACUUCGUUUUAAAUGCACACGGGCGUCACAUAGCGGCGGAAUUACACACUAUAUUUACCACCAUUUGAUAGCCAUAGACCAGCUGACCAACUUUGCCGAAGGCAAGAACUUUCUAGGUGGUCAGAAUCAUGAGAUAACCCAUGUCAAAAUACUUCGUUUUAAAUGCACACUGGCGCCACAUAGCGGCGAAAUUACGCACUAAACUUACCGCCAUUUGAUAGCCAUAGACCGUCUGGUCAACUUUGCCGAAGACACGAACUUUCUAGGUGGUCAGAAUCAUGAGAUAACCCAUGUCGAAGUACUUCCUUUUAAAUGCACACUGGCGCCACAUAGCGGCGGAAUUACGCACUAAACUUACCACCAUUUGAUAGUCAUAGAUCGUCUGAUUAAAUAUGCUGAAGACACGAACAUUCUAGGUGGUCAGAAUCAUGAGAUAACCCAUGUCGAAGUACUUCGUUUUAAAUGCACACUGGCGCCACCUAGCGGCGGAAUUACGCACUAAACUUACCGCCAUUUGAUAGCCAUAGACCGUCUGAUCAACUUUGCCGAAGACACGAACUUUCUAGGUGGUCAGAAUCAUGAGAUAACCCAUGUCGAAGUACUUCCUUUUAAAUGCACACUGGCGCCACAUAGCGGCGGAAUUACGCACUAAACUUACCACCAUUUGAUAGUCAUAGAUCGUCUGAUUAAAUAUGCUGAAGACACGAACAUUCUAGGUGGUCAGAAUCAUGAGAUAACCCAUGUCGAAGUACUUCCUUUUAAAUGCACACUGGCGCCACCUAGCGGCGGAAUUACGCACUAAACUUACCGCCAUUUGAUAGCCAUAGGUCCUCUGAUCAACUUUGCUGAAGGUCUAAACUAUGCAGGGGAUACGGUUUUUGAGAUACAGUUCAGAAAGUGAUGAAGUCUUUAGGUGAUGCCAAACUUUCUGGGGGUGCUGCAAUAUUCAACUGGGGUGUUGCAAUACUAGGCGAUGCGAUUCCAUAUUUAUGGCGGGUAGUGUACAUCAUUUUCAUGCAACAAAUUAGCCGCCGCAGCUUGAGAGUGGGUCUAGCAAUCGCUAGAACCGGAUCUUUAGAUGAAUCAUAUAUAAGUAAAAUAUUGGCAUGGAUUCGUACACUGAUCCGUUGAUUGAGAGGCAUAUCCCUUACCUCUCAGCUAUUUCACCGAGUUAGAAGGAAGGUGAUAUCUGCUGGAAUGGGUUUGUUGAUACUUUCCGGUGCCAACCAGGGUGUGCAUGGUAAGUGUGAUAAUUGUUGGAAAUCGAUGUAACCGAGUGAGAUUACGCUCGAAAAUGAAUACAUCACCAGAAAUUACGCGCCUGGAUAUUACAAAAUUAUUUACUGUGUAUGAAACUUAACACUAGACAAUGCACACGGAUCAUGCACCAGUGGAUACGGAGAAUAAGCUUUUCUCACGUUAAAAAACAUGUUAUAAAACAUGUACCGUUAGUAGUUGAAAUAACAAAAAUUCUAACAAAACUCGUUCCAAUAAAAACAAAAGUAUAAGUGAGUAAUUCUUGCUGAAACCAGGCCGCCAUUUACAUAUAGUCUGGGAUUUCAAAUUUCUGUUGCUUAUUCGCUAGAAUAUGAUAAAAAAGGAUGAAAACCACUUUGGUUGGGUUAAAUUGAUGGACCCCUCGCUUGGCAAGGGGCUGACAAGAUGACAAAAAUGAUGAUUUUUCAUCAAAUUGCCCCUAAUUUAUCGCAAAAUAUCUCAAAAUUUAUUGUUGUAACAUAUACAAAACUUCUCGUUUCUAUCAAGGGAAAGUAUAAACCUUUCAUUUGAAGUUGAAAUUUUUUUGGCGGUCAUCUUGGAUUUGGUCGCCGUUUUGAAUUUUAUCAUUAAAUCGUGAUUUUCGGUGUGUUCGCAAUCACCGAUUUCAAACCCGAACUCACCAUUAGAAACCUGAGAGUCUAUGCUUUUCAAAACACUAAAAAAUUAGGUGUGCAUUGACCGCAACAAUGAUAUAUCGAUGAAAUCGUUAGGCGACCUCCUAUUCUCCGAUUUUUUUUGGUGCUUUCUUGGUAAAGAUAAUGGAAUAAUUUCUGAAAUUUCUGAUGAAAUUCCUGAAAUUUUUCUGAAGAGAUCCUGAGCUGAAUUUCUGGAGGAAUCACUAGAGGACUUUCUGAAUCGAUCCUUCGAAGUAUUCCCGGAGCAAUCCCUGAGGAAACUCCUGGAGGAAUUCCUGGAUGAACUUCUGGAGAAAUUCCUGUAGGAAUUCCUGCAGGAAUGCCUAGUGAAACUCAUAGAGAAAUUCUGGGAGGAAUCCCUAAAGAAAUUUUGGAAGAUAUCUCGUGAGGAAUUCCUUAAAUAAUUCCUAGAGGAAUUUAUGGAGGACUGCCUGGAGGGAUUUCAAGAGUAACCCCUGAACGAAUUCUUUAAGAAAUUCCUGGAGAAUAUAAUGGAGGAAUCCCUGGAAUAAUUGCUGGAGAAAUCUCUGGAGGAAAUCCUGGAGGGAAGCAUGGAAGAACUUCAGAACACAUACCUGGCGGAAUCCCUGUCAAAAUUCCUGGUGCAAAUCCUGAAAGAACUCCUGGAGGAAUCCCUGGAAGAAUUUCUGAAGGAAUACCCGGAGGAAUUCCUGUCAAAACUCCUGGACGAAUUCCUGUUGAAAUUCCUGGAAGAAUUCCUGGAGGAACCCCUGCACUAAUUUCAGGAGGAAUGCUGGGAAGAAUUACUGGAGGAACUCCUAUAAGAGUUUUGGAAGGAAUCCCAGGAGAAAUUUUGAAAGAAAUUGCUAAAGAAAUUCCUGGAGAAAUUCUUAGAGGAGAUAGCUGGAGGAAUUCUUGGAGUAAUUUCUGGUGGAAUUCCUGGAGAAAUUCGUGGAGAUGUUCCUGGAGGAAUUGGCUUCUUUAACGGUGUUGAGAUAAUUCCAUAUUCUGAAUCUACAUGCCAAACUGAGCCGAAAUCCAAAUUUUCAUGAAUUUUGGUGCCCGGGAACCUAUUUAAAAAUCAAUCCGAAGUUUGUAUGGGAGCGAUUUGAUGAAUCACCCCUCGUUGGAUUUUGUACUGGGCGGAGCUGUCAAACAGUUGCCCAGCUGUCAAAAGGUGAUUUGAAAAAAUCUCUUUGAAAUUAAUUUUAGGUAUCAAAAUAAAGUUCUAAAAAUCUGAAAAAAAUCAUAGUGGCUCAGAAAAAGGUGCUCUAUCAUUUAAAAAUAUAAAAUCAUUGAUAUUUUGUUAAUUUAAAAACCCAAUUGCUGGAUAAAUUCCUGAAAUAAUUUCUAGGUGAAUUUCUGGAGGCAUUUCUAGAGGAAUCCCUGAAGCAAUUCUGGAGAUGUCCCAGGCAAAAAUCACAGACGAAAUCCCAAGGGGAAUCCAUGGAUCAAUCCGUGGAGGAAUUCUUGGAGAAGAAAUUUCUCGAUGAAUAUCUUCAGGAAUCGCUGGAAAAUUUCAUGGUCGAAUUCCUGGUGAAAUUCCUGGAAAAAUUCCUGGACAGAUUUCUGGGGGAAUUCCUGGAAGAAUUACUUUAGGAAUUUCUGAAGGAAAUCCUGGAGGGGUUCCUGGAGGAAUACGUGAAGAAUUUUCUGGAAAAAUUCCUGGAGGAAUUCUUGGAGGAAUUCCUGGAGGAGUCUGUUGAAUAAUUCCUAGAUGAAAUCCGGGAAAAAUGCUUAGGCGAAUUCCUGGAGGAAUCCCUGAAAAAAAUCCUGGAGAAAUUUCUGAAAGAAUAUGUGGAGAAAUUCUUGGGGAAAUCCCUGGAGGAAUUUCUGCUGGAAUCGCUGGAGGAUUUCCUGGAGAGAAUCCUGGAGAAGUUGCUGUAGAUAUUCUGAAGGAGUUCCUGGAUAAAUUCAUGAAAGAAUUCCUGGGAUAAUUCCUGAUGGAAUUCUCGAAGGAUUUCCUGAGGAGUCCCUUGGGAAAUUCCUGGAUAAUUCUUUGUGGAACAAGGCAUAGAAAAAUAUCUGAAGAAAUGCAUGUAGAAAUUCCUUGAAGAAUUCCUGGAGGAAUCCCUGGAUGAAUUCCUGGAGGAAUCUCUGGAGAAAUUCCUGGAGGAAUACCUGGAGAAAUUCGUGGAGAAAUAUCUGGAGGAAUGCUUGAAUCCCUGGAAUCCUUGAACCCUUGAAUCCCUCAGGGAAAUAACUCCCGAAGCAAUCUCUGGAGGAUUUCCUUGACAAAUUCCUGGAGGAAUCUCUAGACAAAGAACCCCUAGGGAUCCCUAGGGAGAAUUUCUGAUAAAAUUCCUGGAGGAAUUAUUGAAAAAAUCGCAGAAAGAAUUUCCGGGGAAAUCCUGAAGGAAUCUUAAAAAUGAGUACGUGGUGGAACACCUGGAGAAAUCAUUGUAGCAGUUCCUGAAGGAUUCUCCGGGGAGACCUCAGGAGGAAUCCGGGAUGCAAUCCCAAGAGGAAUUCCUAAUGUAAUCCCUAAACAAUUCCUGGAGAAAGUCUUGGAUUGAUUACACUAGUUUACAGCAUUUUUGAACUCGGUAAGCUGAUGAUCGUUUUUGGUGUAGAAUCGUGCCCUGAGUUCGAAAACGCGAAGGAAAAAAAUUACAGUAGAGCGGAAAUUUUAUCGACUUUCCAUACAAGGUUGAUGAUUUGAAAUCGAUUUUUGUUCUAUUUUUAAGCAAAGUCGCUCACUUCACACAUCUCAUUCUCCGUAAUCAAUGUUCCGAUUGAGCUGAAUUUUUUACUGUAACUCACCCACAUAUGAUAUGUCAAAUAAACGUUGAGAAAGAAUUUUUAAGUUGUUUUUUUCUUAUUGAAAAAAAUACAUUUCUUCAUAAAUUUUUGGAAAUUUUGCUUAAAUUAAGGGAGGUCGUCCACAAAACUCGCCAAUAUCUUGAAUUUCAUCAAUCUGACGCAAAACCUGCAUUCAGAUGAUCGAAUGGUGUUAUACUUAGCCGUUAAUUUAUGGAAAAAGAUUUAAAAUUGGUUGAACAAAACGCAAGAUAUUUGAAUUUUAUUAAAUUCCAUAUUUCAAAAAGUUGUAAAACUCGAUAUUGAGCUAAAACUCAAAAACUGUUCUACUUAAAAUUUUUCGAAGCACGGUUUCGAAAUCAGCGCUAAAUUAUGCUUCAAAAAUUUUGAUCGUUGACAGAAGUUCAUGACUUUCGUUUUAUUUUGUAAACUAGUGUUAUUGAAGGAGUUUUUGAAAGAAUUACUGGAGGAAUUUCAGAAGAAAACUCAACAAAAGUUUCUGAAGGAAUCCUUGAAGGAAUUUUUAUAAUAACCUCAGGAGUUCCUGAAAGUAUCACAGAAGGAAUACAUGGAGAAACCCCUCUGAGGAAUCCCGGAAACAAUUCCAUGAGGAAUUUAUUAGGAAAUCCCAGGAGAGCUAUUUUAAGGAACUCCUGGAUAACUCUCUGUAGGGAUGCCUGGAAAGAGUCUGAAAGAAUCCAUGUCUGCAGUAAUUUCUGGACAAAUUAUUGGAAGAAUCCUUGGAUGGACUCAUAAAGGAUUUUAAGUACAAAAUUUAAAGAAUUCGUGGAUUAUUUUUUCAAUCAUCUCUAGUAAAAUUUUCUGAGAGAAUUCCAUAAAGGAAUCCCAACAGAUAUACUUCGAAUAAUGUAUAGAAUACAUGUAGAAAAUCCUGAAGAAAUCUCAAAAAUAUAAUACUUGCGCAAAUAUCUUUAAAAAUCUCUGGUCAAAUUUAUAUGGGAAUCCUUGAAAAAAUUUCUGAAGGAAUCGUCGAAAAGGGCACAGGAACAAUCACUGGAGGAAUCUCUAAAGAUACCCCAUGGAAAAAUUUCCCUAGGAAUGUACAGAGUAAUUCUCGCACUAAUCGCUGAACGACGCUAUCGGAAAAUUACAGGAAGAAUUCGGCGAUACAUCCUUGCAGUAGUAUUUGUAAAAAUUGCUGAAUGAAAUGAACCGUGAGAGGAACUCCUGAAGCAUUUCUUGGAACAAACCCUGGAACAGUUACUAUCAGAAUCCCGCUAACGUCCAUGGGACAGUUCACAAAGGAAAUUAUUUUUAUGAAAUCCCUUGAGGAAUUCUUGAAGUUUGUUAUUUGGUAAAAUUAUAUGAUAAAACUGAAGUGGUGCUCUUGGAGAAAUACUUGGCCAAAUUUCUUGUAAUUCUCAAGAAAAAAAAAUUGAUUAUUAUGGCUAAAAUUCUAGAUUAAAGUCUAGAAUAAAAUAGUUUAUUUAUUGAGAUUUUUUUUUCUCUGGAACUCUUAUAAUCUUGAGCUAUAACUUAUGGAAAUAAUCUCUAGUCUAUUUUGGCACCCCCGAUUCCAGUACAGCCCGGAAUAUCUCCGGAACGAUUCCACUUGAGUGCAAUAAACUUGCACUAAUUUAUGAUCGAUUAUGGGCGGAUUCAAACAAAUCCGAUGAAAAUAGACGAAAUUCCAUCAUAUUUAAAAUGAGUUGUCGGAGGUCGGGGUUAAAGCGGCAACACGCGUGAAUUCAUUCGAAAUUCGAAUUUCCUCGUGUACGGUUACACUUCCACCAUGUCCGACUGACCCAAGAAAAAAAAAGUCCUAUAAUAACACUUAUCACAAUGGAUCUAAAUGGCGGCACAUCGGAAUGAGGCCAGCGUACUCAACAAUGACACAAUGGCACGGAGGCGCGCGCGCGUGUGCGUGGGAGGGGGAGCAGUGUUGUUUUUGUUUACGGGUCUCGAAAUUAUGCAACACGCAAUGCCGACCGACAAGAAUCCCAUUCCAUUUUCCAUUAUCAUCGUCGCUAUCACGUCUGUCUUGCCUUUAUCGUUGUCGUCAUCGUCAACCGACCGACCAACCAUCCCGCACUGACAUAAGUGUAGUUUUCCUUUGUUCCAUGUAAGAUGUGGUACGUUUAUUACAACGAGUGACGACAACACGGACGGUGGUGGAUGGAGGCUCCAUCACAUAUUUAUGGGAAAAUAUUUAUGCAUUAUUUAUAUAGAUAUGGAGGCUCUCGAGAGCAUAACAAUGACUGCCUGUUGCAAAAGUAUGCCGCAUUACUGAGGGUAGGGUGGUUCCGGAGGGCUCCAGUUUCCAGAAAUGUAUGGAAUCUGAAACUCACAAGACCGCUCUGAACAGUCCCUCCUAUGAUAUUUAUGCAAUAAAAAGUAAUGUACCAUAUCGAUGAGUAAUACUUAAGUGCUGAAUAUUGAUGGAUAGGAUAUCGUUCUUGAAUUGGAAAUCUAAAAGCCUGUUUGAUACUAGAAAAGCGUUGGCGUUUCGUGAGAUUUGUAGCGCUAUCGUAGCGCUAAUAUUGAUUUUGACCUCUACAUGGUGACGGUAAAAAUGGACCCGAAACUAAUUGAUAAUGUAAGCUAUAGAUGGCUACCUCGGUACGACCUAUGUAGAACGACUGAAGUAACCAUUGCAAACGUGCAGAAUCUCGAAGCAGCGUUGCCAGGCUUGAACGAGCUCGAUGAUGCACUUUUUAAGGAAUGCUGAAGAACAGUUGAAGCAGCCAUCAAUGACGCAGCCGAGAGCACCGUCAGGUACGAGGAAUCAUGCUGAAUCAUGCGUAAAUCAUGCUGCAGCAUGGCACCCGAUAGAUUCUGCUACAAGCAGAAGCGGUUUUAAGUUAUUUUGAUACUCAAACUCAAGUCAUGUAUAACUUUUCUGAGGAUAUAACAUCACUGCAGUUAUCUUAUUAUAAUCAUGUUUUGAUAUCAACCAAAAAUUCUAUAUUGAACGGUGGUUCCAGCAAAAACAUUUAUUAUUUUGUUAUUAUCAUUAGCAGGAAUUAUCUUCAACUUGCCAUCACAGAAAUAAUGUUAGAUGUUUAAGUUAAAUAUUAAGACGAGCUAAACGACAACAAUUUGAGAUAUCAUAAUUUGCCAUGACAACAGUUUUCAACUAUAUGUCAGACUUUUCACAGGAACACCAAGGAUGGGAACACUCACUUGCAAAUAGUUACACUCACUUGCUAUUUUCUCAACAUAGAAGCAAUCGAAAAACAAUAUAUAAACGACUUUUGCCUUGUGAUUUUAUCUAAAAGUUUGCCGAAAAGAGUAGGAGUCGUACACGCAUACCGUAGUCGUAACAGAUCUGCGAAGGCAACUCUCCACCUCGUGGAGAGUCGCUUUUACAGCUCUGUUAAGACGUGUGCGACCCCAACUCUAUUCGGCAAACUUUUAGAUAAAACCACAAGGCAAAAGUCGUCCAUAUAUUGUUUUUCGAUUGCUUCUAUGUUGAGAAAAUAGCAAGUGAGUGUAACUAUUUGCAAGUGAGUGUUCCCAUCCUUGGUGUUCCUGUGAAAAGUCUGACAUAUAGUUGAAAACUGUUGUCAUGGCAUCCCUGAGGAACACUAUAGUCCUGUUCAAUGAUGCAGGUUGAAAUUGCUCGAAGUUGCUGCAUCUUGCUCUUACCCAUUUGUCAUCAAACGGGUAAGAGCGGAAUGCAGCAACUUCUUGCAAGUUCAACCUACGUCGUUGAACAGGACUUAUGUUGUUCUUAUGUGAUUUUCAGCGGAGCCCUUUUUUUUACUGUCAAUUUUUAGAAUAGGCCUCAUUUAGGCCUCAUUCCGCAUGCUUCUGGCGAUAUUUUCAAGUUCGAAAUUCCGGAUCCGUUUUAUCCGAAGCAGUUUCGAACGUACUGAAACUUCAUUCAAUGUGGAUUUUACGGAAGUUUCACCGUAAAUUUCUCAAGGUCCUCCACCGGGAAUUCUUCAGAGUUCUUCCGGAAAAUUCUCCAAGAGUUUUUUUUCUAGACAUUUUUCUAAAGGUUUCGAUGGGCGAGCAUGAACUUCUGGAAUUUCGUGAAUCCCUUGAGAAGUUCAUUUUUGAACUCCUUCAAGAGUUCCUCCGGAAAUACAUCCAGUAGAUAGUUAGUAGUUGCACCGGAAACCCGAAGAACAUCUCAAGCAUUUCCACCGGGGAAUUAUCUAGAAGUUUUACUGUGAUUUCCUCUAGUAGCCCGAGGAGUUCUACUAAAAACUCCUUUAGAAUUUCCGCCAGAAAAAAAAAUCCUCCACAGAAGGUCGACCGCAAAGGAGUUUUGGCAGGAAUUUACCUCGAGGGAACCCUAGAUAGAAUUUCAGUAGAAUUUUGUUACAGAACUUCAGAAAGAACUCUGAACAAAUUCCGGAUUUUUUCUAAGUGCAACACUUGGAGGGAAAUUUUCAAGAAAUACCCAUUUUUGAGUACACCGUAAAUUUAUAUGGGAAAAUAAUUCUGGAUAGAAUAUUACGCUCUUGGCAUCAAGUGAAAGGUGAGAUCCUCAGCUUUCAUUUAGUGGCUGAUUUAUUCAAAUAAUAUUUUUCUACCAUAGACACUAAGCCUCCGGAUAUACAUGCAGUUGUUACACAGAAAAUGUUGAAACAUUACCAAGGAGUUCAACAGUGAAUACUCUAGUAGUUCAAAAAGCUCCACUGGAAGUUUCUUUAAAUUUUCCGCCAGAAGAGAGAAUUUCUCCAGAAGUUUUACCCGGAAUUAGUCACGAAAGAAUUCUGGAAAGAAUUUCUGAAGAAGUUUGUGGCAGAAUGUUAGGAAGAACUCUAAAUAAAUCUGCAUUUUUAAGUGGAACCUUGGUGGAAUUCUCUUAAGAUAAACUUUGUCUGGAACUCCAUGAGGAUAUUUUGAGGGAGGAAAUUUUGGAAUUGUUGAACUGGAAUAAGUUGCGAAACUAUAAAAGGAGUUUUCAGAGGAUUUCCUGGAAAAUUUUCUGAAGACAUGUUUGAAGGAAUUUUAGGCGGCAUUUCUGAAAAAAAAUCUUGAAGGCUCUCUUGAAAGAAUUCCAGAAGAAAAUCCUGGAAAAUCACGCGAAGCAACUUCGAAAAUAAAGGAAUUUAAAAGAAUACAUCGACCCACUCCUGAAAAAACUCGCGAGGGAACUUUUGGAGAAAUAUCUAAAGCUACUGCUUGUAUAAUUUAUGAGUCCUAGAAGAAUUUUAUGAAAAACUAUUAUAGGUUCCACAAGAAGAGCUUUCAGUGGAAUUUUGAAGACUUGCAUUCUUGAAGGAAUUCUGUUAUAUUGAAGAAUUUGCGGAGGAAACCCUGAAAAAAUACCGAAGGAAUUCAGAAUUAAUUCUGGGAAAAAACUCUUAGACAGUUCUCGGAAGAAAUCUGGAAACAAUUCCCGCGGCAACUCUUCAACGAAGUUCUGAAGAAACAUCUGAAAAAUUCUUGAAAAAAAACUUUUGAAGCAAUUAUGUUGUGAGAGGAAAAAAAAAUGCAGUAGGAUCUACAGAAGACUAGGAAAAUUACCGAAAAUUACCGAAGGAAUUUCAAAAUUAAUUACUGAGAAAAUUUCCAUACAAUUUCAUGAGAAAUCCGCGAAUAAACUGUCGAUAGAAUUAAAAAAAAAAAAUUGAAUAAAUUUUCGGUGAAAAUUUCUUAAGUAAUUUACCAAGCGAAUUUUCAGACAUAGGGAUUUUUUUUUAUUACUGUACGGGUUUGGGCCGCAAUUUUUACAACAUUUACCACAACUCAGGAACGAAAAUUAAGUGCAUUCCAAAAAUUUCAGCGAUCAAAGCUUAUGAAAUUACCUUCUCAAAAAUAUUUUUUCGAAAAUUUUCCACGAGUUUAGGCAUAAUUUUUCCGGCUUUCUUUACAAAUUUUCUCUACUUUGAAAAAUUUUGCGGAAAACUUUUUCCAGUCAAUAUUUUUUUUUGAUUCCUGAGGAAAUUUGCUUUCAUUUUCUAAAAAAAGCUUUGUUUCUACGAUGCUUCAUUCUUGAGUUAUGAUUUUUCAAAGUAGUGUCAGGGGAAAACAAAAAAAUCCAUCUGGGUUUUCCGAGAAAAUAGGCGAUCCUGAGUUUUUCUCAAAUUUUUUUCGUUCAUAUAUCCAUGAGGGCUGCCAGUGGAAAAAAAAAAACUUGAAAAUCUAAGACCCUUAGACCCAGUUUGUACAGUAAUAAAAAAAUGUCCACAUACAACCAAGGGAAUCACCGAAAAUAACUGAGAAAUUUCCAAAAACUCCAAAAACAGAUAAAAUAAAUGGAAAUAAAAAAUACUGAAAAGAGAUUAGCUAAGGAAUUUCUAAAAAAAAUAAGGGACCGUCCAUAAACGACGUAGCAUUUCAGAAGGAACGGGAGUCCCUGAAAUUGCUACGCUAUCCAUUUAUUAGGUAUGGGAAAAUAGGCUACGAGAGGGGAGGGGACUGUUGAAAAUUAGCGAAGGAAUUCCCAAAUAUGCCACCGAAGGGAAUUCCAAAGGAAUUUGGAUAGGAAAUGCAAAACUAUUACCAACCGAAAUUCAAAAAUAGUUACUGGAAUCUCCGUGUAAAUAACAAAUGAAAUUCCUAAACAAACAGCCGAAGCAAUUUGCAAAGGAAUUGGAGAAGAAAUCCGUAAAGUCAUAUCCGAAAUAAUUUUGAAUAUGAAAACUCAUUUAUUUAGUAAACUCCAAAAGAAUAGCCGGAGAGAUUUCCAAAGGAAUCGUCAAAAGAAUUGUAAAAGGAAUUGCCGAAGUAAUUAUCAAUCAUUUUUCAAAGGAAAUUCUAAGAAUAAAAAAUAAAAAAUUGCUGCACGAUUUUUAAAACGAAUUACAGAAUAAACUUUCAAAAUAUUUGCCUAAAAAAUCUCCUAGAAAAUUGUUUAAGAAAUUCUUAAAAAAAGAUAUCUGUUCGUUUUACAAAGAUGUUUUCCGAAAAUUAUGAAACAAAUUAAAUGAAGGGACUUCCAAACGAACUACCGAGGGAAUUCUAAAUAAAACAUGAAAGUAACUGUUUAAAAAACUGAAGAAAUUUCAAAUCAAAUUACUUAGGAAAUUUCCAAAUGAAUUGGCUUCUUAGCGAUAUUGAGAUAAUUCUAUAUUCUAAAUCCGAAAAACUAUUCUUGAGGCUUGGGAAAAGGUGCCCUUUGGUAUAAAAUUUAAAAAUCUAUUUUUUUUUACAAAAUUCUUAAACAUAUUUUAUACAAAAUUCGAAAAAUACAUUUGCCUCGAAACCCUUCCUCUUGGGACCCUCAUGUUCCCUAAAACUCUACUAAAGUCUCCUGAUGCGUCCUGUAGACCUUUGAAGCCCUCUGAAAUGCAUUGAAAUACUUAGAAAACCCUUUGUAACCCCCCUAAAUGAGGGGCUGUAAUGAACGCUCCUAGACUUCCGAUAACCCUUCUGAAAUACCAUGAAACGUCUUUAAACACCUUGAAGCCUUUCUGCACCCACUCUGAAGCACUCAUGAAUCCCGCCUGAAAGCCCCUGAAGCCCUUCGAAACCUCUUGAAACGCCUCUUAAACCUUUUGAAGAUCUCCUGGAAGCCCCUGAAGCGCUCAAGAACCCAGCUGAAACCUCCCGAAAUCGCCAUGAACCCCUUUAAACUCCCCUGAAACUUUCUUGAAAGACCCCUACUCUCUGGAACCCCGCAUUUCACAGUGACUUUUCAUAACUAUGUACUCACCCUGGUUAAACCGCCCUGUAACCUUGAAAUCCAAUAAUCAAAUAAACUCUUUUCAGUUACGUAAAUAGAAGUCUUGGUGUACACGUCAAUAAUACACGUCGAUUUUAGAUGAUAAAAAAUGGUAUUUAGAUAAAAAUCAAAAAUUUGGGUAUUAGAGGGUUUAAAUAUUGUUCCAGGGAUUCAUCGAGAAGUUUCUUCAAAGUUAGCUUUAGAAAUUCUACCGGUGCCUUCUUCAGAAAUUGCUCCAGAGAUUCUUAAAUUCACCAAAAAAUUUCUAUAGAGAACCUUCUAUGGAUUCUUUCUAAAAUUGCAUCAUUGAUUCCUUAGAACGUGAAAUACGUCACUUUGUAAUCUUUGGUGGGGUUCCCAAAGUUAAUGCUGGAGGAACUCCUUGAGAUGGCUCGGGAGAAAUUGCAAGAAAAGAUUUAUGAGAAAGUUUUUGAUGAAUUCAAGGAAAAAGUCCUGGAAGAGUUUCCGAGAAGAUCUUAAAAGGGAUUUCUUAAGACCACUCUUGAUGAAUUAUCAAAAUACAUAAACCUCGGAAAAUGCCCGAAAGAAAUUUUUUAGAAAAAUCUACAGCAAUUCAUGCGGAAAUUGCAGAUAAAGGUACUAGAGGAAUUCCGGAAUUAAUCUCUAAAUAAAAUUCUUAAGGGACUCCAUUAGAAUAUUCUGAGCAAAACCUGAAAGAACUCUUAAGGAUUGUAUGGAGAAGUUGUUAAAAGAAUUUUUGUAAACUAAAAAUUCUUAAGGAACUCCAUCAAAAUGUUCGGAAGCAAACCCUGAAAGAGCUCGUAAGGAUAUUUAUGGAGAAAUUUUUAAAAUAUUUUUUUGAAAUAUGUCUAAACGUAUUAGUGAACAAAAAUUCCUGAAAUUUCUGAAUUCAUUCCUAGAAGACACUUUUGGAGGAAAUCUAGCAGUAGUUUAAAACCAAUUUGAAUGAAUUAUUGAAGAACAUCUGAAAAAUGUAUAAAGAUAUUGAAUUUUUGAAGGAAUCUCUGAGGGAGCACCCGAAAAACUGGAUAAUACUCCUCAGUAAUACCAAGAAGAAUUGCUGGAGAUAUUCCUCGAGAAACGUCAAGACAGAUAAACCCUGAAGUAAUUUCUGAAGGAAUUUCUGGAAGAAACUUUGAAGGGAUUGCUGGAGGGCCCUGCAAAAUAAUCCCUGCAGAAACGUCUCAAUUCCUCCCAAAAAGGUUUCUGAGGAACUUCUGCGAAGUACCCUGGUAGAACAUCUAGAAGAAUUUCUUGAGAAUUUCCUGGAAAAAAAAAAUCUUAAGAAAUGCCUGAGCCUGAGGUUCCCGUAGAAAAUCCUGGAAAGAGCCAUAUAUAUAAAUACCUGAACCUCUCGAGGAACUCAAAACAUAUCUGAUGAAAAAUUCAGAAGAAUUUCUUAAAAACCACAUGAAAUAUGUGCUGCUGUAUGCCAGUGAAACGUGGUGUGCAUCAGUGGAAAAUACUCAACGGUUGCAGAUCUUUAUCAACAAAUUACUGUAGUGUAUAACUUGAACAUGGUAGUCGCUCAAGUCGAUGGUGACACAAUUUGGUGCUGGUAGAAUUUUCCUGCGAUGCUAAAGUUCCCUAGAUUCACAAACAAUCUUUGAGGAAUUUUAGUGAAAUGGUUGAAGUUUCAGCCAAAAACAUAACUUUCAGUGUUUGCUGUAAGGACCUGUUUUUAAAUGCUUCUCUACAUUAGUCGUUGAAUGCCUUGUUUCAAAAAAAAAAAAAAAAAAAAAUUACAGCUAAACAUAGCAGUGUAACAGUGGUUGUAGAUUGAUGUCACUAAAUUGCAAUCAUCCCGUGCUACAUUGACCCAGAAUUAAAAUCAAUUGCCUUAUGAAAGCCAAUUUAUUUAAAUUGUAAUGCUUCGGAAAAGUGUGCAUAAAUCUAAUUGAGCUUCCUAUUCCAGCUUAAUACCACCCACCCACAUAAACCACAGAAGUAAAUAAGGCGUUGACAUGUACAUCCAUUUCACGGAAUUCCUGUCCACAAUUGGACAAAAUUUCCUGGUAGUGAGAACAAAUUAUAGAAAAAAAUACACUUGAUGUAUGCUUAAUUUACAUUAUGAAAUGUGACUCACUCAAAGGUAUGUUACGCACAUCCCGCAAUUUUAUGGGCACCUUCGCAAUGAAUUGUGAAAACAAAAUUAAAACACCAAGCAAUUUAUCAAAGGGAGUAUACCUAGUAGUCGAUAGAGUUACGUACGACGACGAUCCGGUCGUAAUAUUUCCCGGAACGCUUUGGUGCCGAUAAUUGAAUUUCCCGGCAUUUUAGCGGGUCGAAUUGCAUUUGAAACAUUCCACUCAAUUGCUUACCGGUGCUGCCGGGGCUGGUUAAAAUUAAAUUGAAUUAAAUUUAGUUGAAGGUUCGUAGCACACAAAAGUCCUCAAAUUUAAGAAUUUAAGAAUAAUGAAAUAUUUUCCGCGUCAUGAAUAAAUCACCGCGAAGAGACAAAUCCAGCAAUCAUAAAUCAUAAUCUUUCUAGUUUUCUUCUAACGAACUCACAGGGAAGUUACAACUCCUAAUCCCAGACUAAACCCCGGAGGACUCCCGACAAAAAGCACUCUUACGAAAGUCCGUUUCCUGACCUGAUUGUUCCGCAGAGCCACGUGAGAUCCACUUUGGACGACGACUGCUGCUUGCUGGAGCUACUACCUAGAUGCUGACUCAGGCAGGACCUGCCAGCGCUCAGUGCUUGCUCGGUUCGCAUCCUAAUUGUGCGCGCCUAAUUAGGCAUACAAUUACUUCAUUAUAUAAAUCAUUAGCAUUAAUUAGCGACGACGUCGACAACGACGACGGCAGGCGAAACUUUGUUGUCCCAGUCAGUCGGAGAGAUAUGGUUUUUCACACCUCGAGAUGGAAGAGAAAGUGUGGAGCUUGGUAAGCCGGCGAACCGGCUUCGCCAUGGUCUUGCUCUGUCUAGAGGUGAAGAAAGUUUCCAAAUGUAGAUUCUUAGAUAAGAGUGAAAGAAU
Molecule: long non-coding RNA, 27173 nt
Organism: Aedes albopictus (Asian tiger mosquito)
Lineage: Eukaryota; Metazoa; Arthropoda; Insecta; Diptera; Culicidae
Exons: 2
Source: RefSeq, a predicted model, not a curated record